Molecule: ribosomal RNA, 119 nt
Filed under: Gossypium hirsutum (cotton)
Lineage: Eukaryota; Viridiplantae; Streptophyta; Magnoliopsida; Malvales; Malvaceae
Source: RNAcentral
AGGUAUAAUCAUACCAGUAGUAAUGCAUAGGAUCCCAUUAUAACCCCGUAGUUAAGCGUUGUUGCGGGAUACUAGUACUAUGAUGGGUGACCUUCCGGGAAGUCCUCUUGUUACACCUC